This 1239-nucleotide ribosomal RNA is filed under the name metagenome. RNAcentral describes it as "bacterial LSU rRNA". It matches the Rfam family "Bacterial large subunit ribosomal RNA", at positions 1564 to 2813 of the family's 2925-position model. The record is from RNAcentral.
UGAAUACGAGACGCUAAGGCGUCGAAGUAGUGUAUGUCAUACUUCCAAGAAAAGCUUGCACUGUCAUAGAUAAAAAACGCCUGUACCAUAACCGACACAGGUGGGUAGGUAGAGUAUACUAAGGGGCGCGAGAUAACUCUCUCUAAGGAACUCGGCAAAAUAACUCCGUAACUUCGGGAGAAGGAGUGCCUUAUUAUUAAGGCUGCAAUAACAAGAUCCAAGCAACUGUUUAUCAAAAACACAGGUCUCCGCUAAGUCGUAAGACGAUGUAUGGGGGCUGACGCCUGCCCAGUGCCAGAAGGUUAAAGAAGUUGGUUAGCAUUUGCGAAGCUGAUAACUGAAGCCCUGGUGAACGGCGGCCGUAACAAUAACGGUCCUAAGGUAGCGAAAUUCCUUGUCGGGUAAGUUCCGACCCGCACGAAAGGCGUAAUGAUUUGGAUACUGUCUCGGAGAGGGGCUCGGUGAAAUAGACUUGUCUGUGAAGAUGCGGACUACCUGCACCAGGACAGAAAGACCCUAUGAAGCUUUACUGUAACUUGAAAUUGAAAUUGGACUUUAUUCGCGCAGCAUAGGUAGGAGGCGUUGAUUAUAAUCUUGUGGGAUUAUUGGAGCCAUCAGUGAGAUACCACUCUUGUAAUGUUAGAUUUCUAACUUUGAAUCAUUAUCUGGUCAAAGAACAGUUUCAGGCGGGCAGUUUGACUGGGGCGGUCGCCUCCUAAACGGUAACGGAGGCGUACAAAGGUUUCCUCUGAACGGUUAGAAAUCGUAUCUAGAGUGUAAAGGCAUAAGGAAGCUUGACUGUGAGACCUACAAGUCGAGCAGGGACGAAAGUCGGUCUUAGUGAUCUGACGGUACUGAGUGGAAAGGCCGUCACUCAACGGAUAAAAGUUACUCUAGGAUAACAGGCUGAUCUCCCCCAAGAGUUCACAUCGACGGGGAGGUUUGGCACCUCGAUGUCGGCUCAUCGCAUCCUGGGGCGGUAGUACGUCCCAAGGGUUGGGCUGUUCGCCCAUGAAAGCGGUACGCGAGCUGGGUUCAGAACGUCGUGAGACAGUUCGGUCCAUAUCCGGUGUAGGCGUUAGAAUAUUGAGAGGAGCCUUCUUUAGUACGAGAGGACCGAGAAGGACAUACCUCUGGUGUACCAGUUAUCGUGCCAACGGUAAACGCUGGGUAGCUAUGUAUGGAGUGGAUAACCGCUGAAAGCAUCUAAGUGGGAAGCCCACCUCAAGAUAAGUAUCC